Long non-coding RNA from Dromaius novaehollandiae (emu), 938 nucleotides. RefSeq lists it as uncharacterized. The transcript has 3 exons. The record is from RefSeq and is a predicted model, not a curated record. Lineage: Eukaryota; Metazoa; Chordata; Aves; Casuariiformes; Dromaiidae.
GGGCAGCCCCCCGCCGCCACCACCGCCGCCCCCCACCCGGAGCACCCGGCGGACCCCGGCAGCACGGCGCCCGCGCGGCUUUACCGGUCGCCGCUCGUGGUGCCCCUGUCCCGGCACCUGCUGCUCUUUGCCCGGGUGCCCCGGCCCAGCGCCGCUAAGGACUGUCUGCUGCUCUGCGCCGCCGGCCUGCGGCCCGCCGCCCCCCCGGCCCCCCCGGGGACCCCCCCCUGAGGCCACCCCCCCCGGGGGGGGGACACACAGGGGGCCCAGGCGUCCUGGCAGCACCCCCCCCCCCGGACUGUAUAUACAGACCCCCCCCCGCCGCCACCACAUGCCUGUAACCACCUGCCCCCCCCCCGCACUGUACAUAGCCCCCCCCCCCACAGUGGACCCAGGCGUCCGGGCCCCCCCCUCACCCCCCAUGACCAGUGCCCAGCCGAGGGGCAGCAGCGGGUGGGGGGGCACCCUAAACCCCCCCCCCACCCAAGGGACCAGCAGGAGCCAGGGUGGGUGGGGGCCCCCCCCCCGUUAAUGCCACCUUUGGGUGCCCUAAUUGCUGCUAACGAAGCUGAGCACCCCCCCCGCCCAGCAAAAAGGGGGGGGGGUCCCCGAUACGGCCCCCCCCCCGCUAGUAAUUUAUUUCUAGUGACCCCCCCGCACCCGUUUGCACUAAACCCCCGGUUAUUUAUACCCCCAAAAAGGGGGGGUUUGCCCCCUUUUAGCACCUCGGUUUGCUGCCCCCCCCCCGAUUUGUCCCCCCUCCCCGGUUUAUUGUCCCCCCCCCCCGGUUUAUUGCCCCCCCUCCACCCCCCCGCAGCACCCAUGGGUGGCAGGAUGGAAAUAAAGCUGCGUUGCUCCCACGGGUGGCUCCGCGCAGCGUGGGGACGCGGCUGUCCCGGGGGGGGGACAAGGGACAGGGGACCCCCAAAGUGGCCCCG